AAAAAAGUAGUUUAACUUUAGAACAAUAGAUUGUGGGGCUAUAAGUGGUGUGAACCCUUUUUUA
This 64-nucleotide transfer RNA is filed under the name Mytilus edulis (blue mussel). RNAcentral's name for it is "tRNA-His". RNAcentral also lists the same sequence under 1 other name. The record is from RNAcentral. Lineage: Eukaryota; Metazoa; Mollusca; Bivalvia; Mytilida; Mytilidae.